GCGCCGGUAAACGUGUCCGGUAGCCCUGUUUUCCUUGGGCGUCGGGAAUGCGGUGAGGGGCCUGCCCCCGAAUCCGCGGCUGUCCCUGCAACUGUGAGCGGAGAGCCGACGAUCAAGCGUCCUUAGGGGACGCAGCCACUGGGCCGCUCAAGCGAGGCCUGGGAAGGCGAUCGGAGGCGACGACCCGCGAGCCAGGAGACCGGCCGGGCACGGUUCGCUCAA
RNAcentral lists this non-coding RNA (222 nucleotides) under Caulobacterales bacterium. Lineage: Bacteria; Pseudomonadati; Pseudomonadota; Alphaproteobacteria; Caulobacterales. The record is from RNAcentral.